Molecule: long non-coding RNA, 1675 nt
Organism: Homo sapiens (human)
Lineage: Eukaryota; Metazoa; Chordata; Mammalia; Primates; Hominidae
Product: long intergenic non-protein coding RNA 327
Source: Ensembl
GAGAAAUCUCCAAGUAUCUUAAUGCUUUCAGCGCUUCUCCAAUCUGACAAAUAUUUAUUCAGAUUCGAACUGACUGCCCAAGCUUCACUGCAGCUCCUCGUUUCCUGUUAGAUCUUUUUAAAAAUCUUUGCUUAAAACAUUGAAGGCUGAACGAUGAGCAAGAAAAUCUUGCCUGUGAAUAAGACACUGGGAACUGCACAGAAUCAACAUCAGCUCACAAGCUCAUCAUCUCACGCACGGAUUCCUGAGCACAUUCUCGCAUUCUUGCUCUUAAUCCUCCCUUGGCGACCUUCUACUCAGACAUCAUCUUUUAUGCAGAGAAGCAGGCACGUUUCUCAUCAUUAAUUCUGUUCUCAGCCAGGUGUGUAGCCACAGAGCAUACAGACCACAGGAUGAUUGAAAGCAUAUUGACUUUCCUGACUUCUUAUGACCACAUUUGAGGAAAGGAGUAAGCACUGGAAUCACCAACACAGCAUGCUUACGGAGGGUGGUCACCAGCUUCAUCAGCCUCCCAAUUCCACGGAGCCCCUUGAAAAUCCAGGAGCGCAGACUGGCAACAGUAGAGAUUUAAUAGUCACUGUUUUAUAGGGGAACUCGAGAAGCAGUCAGGAAGGAAGGUCUCGGAGGAGAUGGCCCUGAAACUGAAUCAGACUUUAAAAGAUAAGUUGGUCAACAGGGUUGGAGGGAGGGAGGGAAAAGAAGGUUUUGAAAGAUAGAUCUUUCAGAAAAAGCAAAUAACUUGGGCACAGACAUGGGCACAAAAAGGAAAAGAAAAGCCAGGGCAUUCAGAGAAUUGCAGAACAUUUUGCAUGACUGAGUAUAGGAAGCAAGAGAGGUCUUUUGAGAAAUACGACUGGAGAGGUGAUGAGGGGCCAGAUCUUGUGUUACACAAAGAACCUCUUAUGCCACACAAAGGAAUUUGGAUUUUUUUUUUCCUUUUAGGCAUAAGGAAGCCAUUGAAGGGUUUUAAACAGGAACAAUGUAAUCAGAUUUACUCUUUGGAAAUAAGAUCUCCUGGUUAGUUAAUGAACUCGUAUUUCUUUUUUUCUAUGUUAACCAUUGUUUUAUUGUUUGGUCUUUAGACUCUAUUAUUGAUUGAAAUGCCAAAGUGAUGGGAGUCAAGCGGCUUUGCCACUUAACCUUCCAAAGUUUGUUUCAUUUGCUUUUAAAAUAGUUAUUAUAUUACGUGCUUUGCCUUAUUAGUUUUGUGUACAAUUAAAGCGAGAUAAAGGCAGAGAAACUGGCUUGUAGUGCUAUUGCUAUGGACACCAUUAGUUGAUGUCAGAACAAUUACAGAUGAAUCAAUAUUUACUAUUGGACCAAUUACAGACAAAACCAGAAAAGAUUAGAUCUAGCACAAACUUUAUAAACUAUUGAGCCUUUCAUUUUAUUUUGCAUUUAAAAAUCCUUACAUCCGAGAUUCUGAAUUCUUUUAUCAGGGGUGUGGCCUGUGCAUUGAGAGUUUUUAAAGCUCUCCAGGUGAUUUUAAUAUGCAAUUAGAUUUGAGAACCAUGAUUUUAGACUUAAGGGGCUUUAGAAGUAAAUGUCUUUAAAUUCUGUGAUAAUACAUCAUUCAUAGGCUAUUCAGGCUGUACUAAAACAUAGAGAAAAAACAAAGACAAUUAUUGAGUUCAUUUUAUGAAGCAAGAACAAUCUUAAUAACAAAAGAUAAAAA